AGAGUUUGAUCCUGGCUCAGGAUGAACGCUAGCGGCAGGCUUAAUACAUGCAAGUCGAACGGGAUUCGGGGUAGCAAUACUUUGAUGAGAGUGGCGCACGGGUGCGUAACGCGUAUGCAACCUACCUUUAACAGGGGAAUAGCCCCGAGAAAUCGGGAUUAAUACUCCGUAACAUUGCGGUGUGGCAUCACACUGCACUUAAAGCUGAGGCGGUUAAAGAUGGGCAUGCGUGACAUUAGCUAGUUGGUGAGGUAACGGCUCACCAAGGCAACGAUGUCUAGGGGUCCUGAGAGGGUUAUCCCCCACACUGGUACUGAGACACGGACCAGACUCCUACGGGAGGCAGCAGUAAGGAAUAUUGGUCAAUGGGCGCAAGCCUGAACCAGCCAUGCCGCGUGCAGGAAGACGGCCCUAUGGGUUGUAAACUGCUUUUGUCAGGGAAUAAACCCCCGCUCGUGAGCGGGGCUGAAGGUACCUGAAGAAUAAGCAUCGGCUAACUCCGUGCCAGCAGCCGCGGUAAUACGGAGGAUGCAAGCGUUAUCCGGAUUCAUUGGGUUUAAAGGGUGCGCAGGCGGAUUGGUAAGUCAGGGGUGAAAUCCCACAGCUCAACUGUGGAACUGCCUUUGAUACUGUCAGUCUAGAGUAUAGUUGAAGUUGGCGGAAUGUGUCAUGUAGCGGUGAAAUGCUUAGAUAUGACACAGAACACCGAUCGCGAAGGCAGCUAGCUAAGCUAUAACUGACGCUCAUGCACGAAAGCGUGGGGGUCAAACAGGAUUAGAUACCCUGGUAGUCCACGCUGUAAACGAUGAUUACUCGAUGUU
Molecule: ribosomal RNA, 821 nt
Filed under: uncultured Lentimicrobium sp.
Lineage: Bacteria; Pseudomonadati; Bacteroidota; Bacteroidia; Bacteroidales; Lentimicrobiaceae
Description: bacterial SSU rRNA
Rfam family: Bacterial small subunit ribosomal RNA
Source: RNAcentral